This 810-nucleotide ribosomal RNA is filed under the name uncultured Sebacinales. RNAcentral's name for it is "eukaryotic LSU rRNA". It matches the Rfam family "Eukaryotic large subunit ribosomal RNA", at positions 71 to 867 of the family's 3401-position model. Lineage: Eukaryota; Fungi; Basidiomycota; Agaricomycetes; Sebacinales. The record is from RNAcentral.
AGGAUUCCCCUAGUAACGGCGAGUGAAGAGGGAAAAGCUCAAAUUUUGAAUCCGACGUCUUCGACGUCCGAGUUGUAAUCUAGAGAAGUGUUUUCCGCGUCGGACCGUGCAAAAGUUCCCUGGAACGGGGCGUCAUAGAGGGUGAGAAUCCCGUACAUGGCACGGACUCCCGUCGCUCUGCGUCACACUCUCAACGAGUCGAGUUGUUUGGGAAUGCAGCUCAAAAUGGGUGGUAAAUUCCAUCUAAAGCUAAAUAUAGGCGAGAGACCGAUAGCGAACAAGUACCGUGAGGGAAAGAUGAAAAGCACUUUGGAAAGAGAGUGAAACAGUACGUGAAAUUGUUGAAAGGGAAGCGUUUGAAGUCAGUCGCGUCUGUCGGGAUUCAGCCUGGCUUCUGCCUGGUGUAUUUCCCGUCCGACGGGUCAGCAUCAGUUUCGACCGAGAGAAAAAGGCUUGGGGAAUGUGGCUGUCUUCGGGCAGUGUUAUAGCCUCUUGUCGUAUGUCUCGGUCGGGACUGAGGAACGCAGCGCGCCUUAUGGCCGGGGCUUGCUCCCUCGGUACGCGCUUAGGAUGCUGGCAUAAUGGCUUUAAGCGACCCGUCUUGAAACACGGACCAAGGAGUCUAACAUGUGCGCGAGUGUUUGGGUGUCAAACCCGAGCGCGAAAUGAAAGUGAAAGGUCGGGAUCACGUACGUGUGCACCGACGCCCGGAGCAGACCUACUGUGACGCAUYUGCGGCAGAGCGUAUAUGUUGGGACCCGAAAGAUGGUGAACUAUGCCUGAAUAGGGUGAAGCCAGAGGAAACUCUGG